This is a non-coding RNA of Macaca mulatta (Rhesus monkey), 3761 nucleotides long. NCBI's taxonomy places the organism in Eukaryota, Metazoa, Chordata, Mammalia, Primates, Cercopithecidae. The record is from RefSeq and is a predicted model, not a curated record.
ACGCAGGGCCGCCGAGGCGGGAUCCCCGAAUGCGGUUCUCGCUCGCUGCGUGGCGGUAAAGGACCCCGGGUGUCGUAAAAGGGCCGCAGUGGCAGCGCCCCGGCCGACGGCUGUUAUCCCAUUUUGGACGCCGUCCUCGCUGCGAAAAGUUGGGGCAACCUGUUGCUAGUCUGUUCGUUGGUGACAGCUAGGCUUCCGCGCUCGCUGCUGGUGGGCAGCCCCGCCGUGGCCCGCGGGCUGGAAGAGGCGGCGGCGUGAUGCGGCCUGUGGACGCGGACGAGGCGCGGGAGCCCCGCGAGGACCCGGGCAGCCCGCUGAGCCCGGUGCCCCGCGCCGGCCGCGAGGACCUGGCCUCCCUGGAGCGCGAGCGCGCCCGGGCGCACUGGCGGGCCCGCAGGAAGCUGCUGGAGAUCCAGAGCCUGCUCGACGCCAUCAAGAGCGAGGUGGAGGCGGAGGAGCGGGGCGCCCGGGCCCCUGCACCCAGCCCGCGCGCGGAGGCGGAGGAGCGGGUGGCUCGGCUGUGUGCCGAGGCGGAGAGGAAGGCCGCGGAGGCGGCGCGGAUGGGCAGAAGGAUCGUGGAGCUGCACCAGCGGAUCGCUGGCUGCUAGUGCUGCUGAGCCGGCGGGGUCGCGCGGGGAGGAGCCGAAUCCGGCGGGGAGUGUCCCGCGUGGAAGGCGCUGGGCAGGCAGGGAGGGGAGCGCAGAGCCGUGCCACUCUCUCCGCCGAGUUGGUUUCAUUCUUUUUUCAUAGGUGGCCGACUGACGAACUGUGUUCACCUGAUAAGGAUUCCUGGCCGUUUGGACAGGCUCAUACCAAGAGAGCCUUUCGUUUUGUCUCCCCUGUUUUUCUGCCUGCGUUUUCUCCACGUUAGCCACUCAAUUUCCAGUAGCAUCCUGGCGGAUGACUUCAGCAUUAGAUGGUCAGGUGUAUUUUUUGAUUAAUAGGUGCAUUCAGUUUGGAAAAGACAGCUUUUCAUUAACGUCCCACGUAAAGGAAUAUGGCCUAUACGGUACGUACGCUGCUGCGUGGUCAUAUUUGUUCCUGUGAUCUUACUGUAUUUUCAAAGUUUGGAAAUAUACAUACCGUGUGCUUUGCAAUUGUUUUAUGCUUCCUGGAAUUUGGGGAUUCACGAGAGACUUGAGGUUAGAGUUCUGCAAGAGAGAAGACACUACAUGAUUGCAGCUGCUACAUCAAGAACCCAAGCCCCAGUCAAGGUUGUGAAUACGACUUUGGAUGAGAUUGAGAAGGCCCAGUGGACGGUUGGUCUUGAAGAGUGGCAGUGUAUGGACUUGAGGACCUCUGCAGACCAUCAGAUCAAAGGAAGAGAGCUGUUUUGCGUGGGGUUUUUUUGUUGUUGUUUUUAUAGCAUUUUGCUUUUUCCUGGAAUGUAAUUUUCCUAUGACAUGUUAACCGGUGCACAUCGUGUAACCUGUCUGGUGAGCAACCUACAAUUGGGAUGAGUUCUAGGUACAUGUGUUUGCUGACUUUGGGGUAAACUUUGUUAAAAUACAGUCUCUGCCACAAAUGCAUGUGAACUGUUCAGGGGCCCAGAGUGGCGGAGGAAGGAAAGCUUCAAGCUGGCCAUGGGGGUCCCAAACAGUCAUUCCAGGCUUUGAUGAUGACUAGCCUAGGUCAUUAGAGCCCAGACUCCACAGAGACUAAAAUCAGAGCUCUGCCUUGUUGUGAUAAAGUUCCUUUACUUGGAAAAACAAAUGCUGAAAGCCAGUUUUUAAACUCUUUGUGCAGAUGACCAAAGCAAUUGACUUGGCCAGGAAAAGGUGAGGAAACUUCAGCCGAAAACAAAAGAGAAAACGAGCCUCAGAACCUUGCCUGGAAGAAUUCAACUGGUGCCAAAGCUCUGUCACAACAUCAGUAGCUCCUGGUGCGCCGUCUGCUUCCUCGACCCCCAGCAGGCACAUCGGUCAUGAUGGUUUUCGAACCAAUGGUUCAGAAUGCUGAGUACUCGAGGGAGGGCUGCAGCAACAAGCGUGGGACUGAGUUUCUGGCCUCACAGAAUGUUCCAUGACAGACCCUUUUUGACUGACAAGGUGUGAGGUGUCGCUCAGGCUGAGUGAGAUUCGGGGGCCUGAAUGCAGGCAUCCACCCUCUGCUCAGGUCCCAUGUUCCAGAUGUCUUCUGGACACCAACCAGUGGAUGUCAUAGGAUGGAUUCACCUCUUUGUUGAUGUAUUCAUCCAGUGUGUUUUGCUGGCGAUAUACUAGGUCCUUGGGACACCAAGGAGCAGUUGGCUCCUUGGCACUGGAGUCAUUGAUUCAUUUGUUCAAGUAUUCUUUGAAUAGGUACUGAAGACUUAGCAUGCGCCAGGCCUGGAGUAGACAUGACAGCCAUCCUCUUGCACAGCUGCUGCCUUCAGAGGGUUUGCACCCUAGUGGGUGAGAUGGCCACUUAGCAGCCCCUGCCUGUGGGUGAGAAGUGCUGAGCGUGAGCAAAGCCUAGGGUGGGUGGUAUCUGCCCAGCCAGGCAAUAGACAAGGCUCCUUCCCUGAGGGGUCACAGAUCAUGUGUUACAUGGUUUAAGCCAUGUGGGGAUGUGGGCAGGGGAAGGGAAGGUAUGUAGAAGGUUCCAAUCUGGCUGGGUGCAGUGGCUCACGCCUGUAAUCCCAGCACUUUGGGAGGCCGACGUGGGCAGAUCACGAGGUCAGGAGAUCGAGACCAUGAUGGCUAACACAGUGAAACCCCAUCUAUACUAAAAAUACAAAAAAUUAGCCAGGCAUGGUGGCAGGUGCCUGUAGUCCCAGCUACUCGGGAGGCUGAGGCAGGAGAAUGGCGUGAACCCAGGAGGUGGAGCUUGCAGUGAGCCGAGAUCGUGCCACUGCACUCCAGCUUGGGCGACAGAGCGCGACUCCAUCUCAAAAAAUAAAAAAAUAAAAAGGUUCCAAUCUAACUGACCCCAUCCUGUCAGCAGAGAACAGCUGAGGCCCAGCCCUCUACAUUUGCAUGUUUCCUUAUCCUGCCUGACUCCUUUGAUGAAGGCGGUUUGGAUCUUGGGUGCCAUGAUGGUAAGAGCUGAGUUCGUGAACUUUGCAUCUUAGGAGUCAAGGGCAAUAUCCUGUGUAUGAGCCUAGAGGAAGGGAACACACUUGGGGAGGAAGAGCCCCGACCCCGCUGUACACCAGACUGCAGACAGCACACAAGGUGUGGACCGGGGUCCGGAAGGCAGUUCCAUUCCUGACUGUGCUGAUUACUCACCCUGUGGCCAUCUCUUUGGGGGCCACCAUAAAAUGAUAGAUUUGCACUGUGUUUUCUCUGAGUUUCCUUGUAACCUUGACAUUUCAUUUGACUCAGAUUCAUGUAAAGUAACCAGCCACCUCUUGGGCAGUUUUAGCCUUGCUCCUAGAGGUAGCACCUUGAAGACUGGUAUCUGAGGCCCUCUCAGAGACUUGGAAUUUCAUUGUAUGGUCUAGCCACACUAGCACUUCCAAGUAGGUCCUAUAUUGGGACUAAGAGUCUCAUUAGCAGAAGAUUCCUGGGUUCCAGAGAUGCCCUGAGACUACAACUGGAUAAAGAUUGCUGAACAGAUGAAAUUGAUAUUUGAUCUUUCUCCCCAUUGAUUAUGUCAUAUUACAACAUAAUUCUUGGGUAUUCAAAGGCAUCCUGGACUUGGGUCAGGGUGUGCCCAUCAGUCUUAUUAUUUGUUCCAUGUCCUGUAAGUCAGACACAUUUUUCUGUGUUUCUUAAUUCCCACAGUCAUGGUUGCACAUAUACUCUGAGACAUGGAAGAAUGAAGAGUUCCUUAAUAUG